This 332-nucleotide ribosomal RNA is filed under the name uncultured bacterium. Its description in RNAcentral is "bacterial SSU rRNA". It matches the Rfam family "Bacterial small subunit ribosomal RNA", at positions 568 to 898 of the family's 1533-position model. The record is from RNAcentral.
CACGCAGGCGGUGCUGCGCGUUUCGUGUGACAGCGGGUGGCUUAACUGCCCGAGGGUGCGAAAGACGGCAGGACUGGAGGGCCAGAGAGGGACACGGAAUUCCGGGUGGAGUGGUGAAAUGCGUAGAGAUCCGGAGGAACACCAAAGGCGAAGGCAGUGUCCUGGCUGGUGACUGACGCUGAGGUGCGAAAGCCAGGGGAGCGAACGGGAUUAGAUACCCCGGUAGUCCUGGCCGUAAACGAUGACCACCAGGUGUGGGAGGGCUCGACCCCUUCCGUGCCGGAGGAAACCCAUUAAGUGGUCCGCCUGGGGAGUACGGUCGCAAGAUUAAA